RNAcentral lists this ribosomal RNA (468 nucleotides) under uncultured bacterium. RNAcentral describes it as "partial 16S ribosomal RNA". It matches the Rfam family "Bacterial small subunit ribosomal RNA", at positions 28 to 507 of the family's 1533-position model. The record is from RNAcentral.
GACGAACGCUGGCGGCGUGCUUAACACAUGCAAGUCGAACGGACAGGCCCUGCUUUUGUUGGUUGCUCGUGUGGCGAACGCGUGAGUAACACGUGUGUAUCCUGUCCUUGUCUUUCUGGUAUCUUUUCGAAACUCGGGCUCUUAUCCCAUAUGAUCUCCUGCUGCGUGUGGGUCGUUGGAGAGAUUCGGCUGUUGGGGCUCGUCUCGCGGCUUAUCCGCUUGUUUGUGGGGUUGUGGCUUACCAAGGGUUUGAAGGGUAGCCGGCCUGGGCGGGUUACCGGCCACAUGGGGACUGAGAGACGGCCCAGAAUCCUACGGGAGGCAGCAGGGGGGAAUAUGGCAGAAUGGGCGGGAGCCUGAGGCAGAAACGCCGCGUGCGGGAUGACGGCCUUCGGGUUGUGAACCGCUGUCGCAUGUGACGAAGCGUGAGUGACGGUAAUGGGUAAAGAAGCACCGGCUAACUACGUG